AUUGAACGCUGGCGGCAGGCCUAACACAUGCAAGUCGAACGGUAACAGGGAUCAGCUUGCUGAUUCGCUGACGAGUGGCGGACGGGUGAGUAAUGUCUGGGAAACUGCCUGAUGGAGGGGGAUAACUACUGGAAACGGUAGCUAAUACCGCAUAACGUCGCAAGACCAAAGAGGGGGACCUUCGGGCCUCUUGCCAUCGGAUGUGCCCAGAUGGGAUUAGCUAGUAGGUGGGGUAACGGCUCACCUAGGCGACGAUCCCUAGCUGGUCUGAGAGGAUGACCGGCAACACUGGAACUGAGACACGGUCCAGACUCCUACGGGAGGCAGCAGUGGGGAAUAUUGCACAAUGGGCGCAAGCCUGAUGCAGCCAUGCCGCGUGUAUGAAGAAGGCCUUCGGGUUGUAAAGUACUUUCAGCGGGGAGGAAGGGAGUAAAGUUAAUACCUUUGCUCAUUGACGUUACCCGCAGAAGAAGCACCGGCUAACUCCGUG
RNAcentral lists this ribosomal RNA (490 nucleotides) under uncultured bacterium. RNAcentral describes it as "partial 16S ribosomal RNA". It matches the Rfam family "Bacterial small subunit ribosomal RNA", at positions 30 to 507 of the family's 1533-position model. The record is from RNAcentral.